UACGUAGGCAGCAAGCGUUGUUCGGAAUUACUGGGCGUAAAGAGUGUGUAGGCGGUGCUCCAAGUCUGGUGUGAAAUCUCCCGGCUUAACUUGGAGGGUGCAUUAGAAACUGGAAUGCUAGAGGAUGGGAGAGGUAAGCGGAAUUCCUGGUGUAGCGGUGAAAUGCGUAGAUAUCAGGAGGAACACCUGUGGUGUAGACAGCUUACUGGACCAUUUCUGACGCUGAGACACGAAAGCGUGGGUAGCAAACAGG
RNAcentral lists this ribosomal RNA (253 nucleotides) under uncultured bacterium. Its description in RNAcentral is "partial 16S ribosomal RNA". It matches the Rfam family "Bacterial small subunit ribosomal RNA", at positions 524 to 776 of the family's 1533-position model. The record is from RNAcentral.